CGCAGAUCAAAAACUUUUCCUUAUUUUUAACCACACAUUUCCCAUCAAUACACUAUUUAAGAAUGCAUUAUUACCAAAAUAAUGUGGCUCAAACACCCCCUAAAUCACUAUUUCAAAAUGUAUAUUUUGCACACAAAAAAAAAGACAUCAAACAAGCUCUUAAUAUUUUAUUGCGGCUGACGGUCAACGGUCGCCCGUGCUGGAUCAAUAUCUUGGAUUCGCCACUGCUACUAGUAAUAUAAAAAAAUCUUUAAAGUCACUAAAUAACAAAUGAAUAAUACUAUCAGUAAAAGGAUCCAUCUGAAUUCUACUAAGCAACGGAGUUGAAAUGAUAUUUAACGUCAGACUCUGAAUCAUUUGGCACAAAUGGGAGCAUCACUUUUGCCAGACAUAGGAACUCCCGAACUCCACCAAGCAAUUUAGAGACUGCUGCAAGUCUUGAAACUUCUUUCCAACAAAUAGAUGGAUGAUUUAGUAUCUCUACGUUUAUUCACUCCUCUGUCUAUUUAAGAAUCCCCUGCACAUAAGAAAUGGAGAACGUGUGAAGGAAGAGUGACAGAAACCUUUCAUAUUUGUGUGCGUGAAAUUGUGAGGAUGGUUUGUAGAAGAGAAGCUGUGGGGAUAUGUAGCUGAAACAGAUAUACAACAUGAUGCCAUAUGUCACUGGCACUGAUAACUGCUGCAAACUAUGCCACUAAUGAAAGGAACUAAAUGUUACACUUGAACAUGGUUAGAGGCACGCUGUAUGUACAUUAUAUUUAGGUGUUCUGAAACGGGAAAAUUUAAUGAGGGCUUCAAGGAUUGAUUUACUAUGUGGAAACUGGAAAGUGGAUUUUGAAUAUCUAAGGUACUGUACCUUGUAAAAAUUGAGAUUACUGUAAUCACAAACAAUUACACACCAUUAAGAGUCAUACUGCUUCACCUAAAAAAUAGUAUGAUUUUAAUUUUCACUACAUAUUCCAGGUAAGUAAAAAAAUGCAUACGAGCUCCCGCUAAGAACGUGAUGAGUGUGAAACUUAGAGAGCUUUCAUUUCCAGGCCGGGGCUUUUGCUACUAACGUAUCUGUAGUGAUUCUCAGAGUUCUACAAGGAGUCUAACCGAGCCGCAAUUCAGUAUGAAUUGAGUAAGGCUAGUACCGAUCCUCCCUGACCCGCUAUUCCCCAACCUGAGAUUCUCUUUUUCAUUUUCUCCAGUAGAGGAAUUUAUUCUCUUGAGAGACAAGAAAACAAAUCCAAUUCUCUUAUUUCGAUCAAGAGAAGUAGAAAAGAGAGCAGGUCUAGGAGGCCUAGACAUUGCUAGGAGGCCUAGAUAUUGCAUCAUGUGAAAGCAGCGCUAAAAGACCAUUGCAGCAUCAAUAGAUAAUUCGUGCUGACUCUGCCAAAAAAAGACCAGAUAAAAUUGGGUCCAGGAAAAAUCAGGUUAAAUCAAAGAAUCAAUGACACUUAAUACGGGGUUGAUAUAGACUUGCUAAAUCACCUGAACAUACACCACCAAAAAGCUAUAAGAAGCAAGAUUAAUACUCAUGGAAGAACAGAUUGAUUGAUUUCACACUGACAUAAGCAGGAUACAAUAUGCCAAAACAAUAAAUAUUAGAAAUGCUGCAAUGAUAAUUCCCUAGAUAGAUAUUAAAUGAAGGAGAUGACUAUAGCUAUAAAAUCAAAAAGCCAAAAGUACAGCGAGGGAUGAGAGAAGGAUGAAGUUGCCCAUGCUCGAACAUCUCGACAGAAGGAAAUGUUAAAACUUAAUGUGAAAAUAUAGUCAAAUAGGGUGCCUCAGACAAUACCUUGAAGUGGAAGGAUUAGUAAAAUUUUGCAGCAUUAAUAUCUUUAUAACUAAACAAUCCUUAAUCAAAAAACAAGGUCGCGAAAUCCACAAUAGAUACAGUGAAUAGAGCAUAUUCAGUACCCAUGCCUAACCUAGAAAAAAUGUAAUAAACAAGGUAGGUUGGAAUGAUGAAGAUUCUAUGCUAUCAAAAGAUGCCUACCAACUUAAAUGGUAAGCAUCAGACGAACUAUACUUUACAUUACUGUGUUACCUAUGUACAAAAAUGCCAAAGCUCUUACAUAAAUGAGAAUGUAAAAAUGGAUGUAUGGUUGUAUUAAGAAUAUACUCCAACUAAUGGAGGUUAAAUCAAAUUAAAGGAAUGAAGAGUUAGAUGGUUAAGGCGUAUCUUAGUAGACCUAGAGACAAUUCACAAGAGACAUGAUCUGUGUAAAAUUAGUUAGAAUACAAAGAAGUAAGCGAAAUUACAUUGCUAGAGGCGGUCACAAAUAUUCCAUUGGACCUAGAUGUAAUGUAAUCAUACCAAUUGGCAAGAAGGGACAUGUUUAGCUGCCACCAAAUUUAAUAAAAUGGCAGUUGUUUCUGGUUAUUAGGGUUAAGAUAACAGCAGAAAGUAGCUUCGACUAGAAGGAAGAUAGAAGGCCUGGAUAACAAUCAUUUACAUGAUUUCAUGCUCAUUAAGGCAGUAGACAUUUAUCUUACUGAAUAAUUAUGGAUAGUAGAACAUCAAUGAAAAUACCUUUGGGCAUAAAUAUUAUUAUUGCUGCAUGUAUACUGUCUUCACUCAAAUGCUUUCAUUCAACAAUCUAUCAGCCUAAUAAUUUUACCAUGUUUUCUGUACCACAUCUGAAGUCAUGUCUACUUAUGAAAGUGGAAAAGGAGAGGUAGAAGAUUUUGUGUCUUGAAGACAAAACCUAAUACAACAAGCGUGAAUAAUAAAAACAUUAGAUAUAAAAAAUGCUUAUUAGAAAAGAUGGAAAGAAAAUAGAUUUCGAGUCAAUCAAAAGAUAACGCAUGUUAAAACCUGCCAACGUCACUUCUAGUUGAAUAUGUCCCACAUAAUCUCGCCACACGUGGCUCCACGUGACCAACCCAUUGUAGCCAUUGGGCUACUCCGAAUCACCCUACAUUUUGGCUGAUGCCCUUAUGCCGAGCCACCUUUGCAAUCUAGCCCAAGCCGAAGCCCAUUUCGCCGAGGUAGAGUCCUCCGAAGCCCUAUUGCUGAGGCAGAAGCCUCCAAGCAUCUUUUACUUCACUUCUUCCAAGAAAUCUUCUUUUACACAGAAAUCUUAUUCGAAUGACUGAGAGGAUAUUUGUCAUGACUGUAAAUGUUAAGUCUUAUCAACAAAGUCGUAGCUCUGUUUGAAUAAUAAAUGUAUAGCAAGCUAGCAAGCCAAAGGGUGAUGUCUAGGAUUAGAUGUUUGAAGUAAGGAGGUGAGACUACAUGUAUCAUCAUCCAAGGGUCACCAUUUCACUUGUACCAUUAUAAAUACUCCCCCAUGUAACCCUUUUGAAACUAAUGCAACUUUGAAUACUAAUUACUACUCUUCAUUUCCUCUCUUGCACAAAAAUUGCGUUUACUUCACAUUAGUUCAUUGCAAUUGGUAAUUAUUGCACAAUCAUUUCGUAAAUAUAUCGCCGGAUUCCGAACAUGUUUGUCUCGUGUUAAAAAGCUGCCCCCACCCCCUGUUUUCUGGGAAGCUCUUGACCAUUGGUUUGUCCUUGCAUGUUGGAAUCAGCUUACAUGUAUGCGAAUGGAUCCAACAUCCGUUGUCUACGUGGCCCUAUCUGAAAUCGAGGUCAACAUAAUCCAUGAGUAAUACACUUCAGUUAUUAAAAUUGCUACUUCCAUAGGAACAUGUCCACUAGUAAGAAACUUAUAAACGAAAAUUCAGACUGUCAGAGUUGAUAUAGAUGUAUCAACUACACAUUGAAAAAUAAUAUGCAUUUGAUAGAUAAAUGCUUUCAACCCCUCAUCAUAUAGAAACGUGAGCGAACAAGGUAUCCAGCCAAUAAAAUGAUAAAAUCCAAAGAUAACGGGUAGUACAGGGAUCAAAAAUUCAUGAAAUGUCAUUUCUCAAGAUGCAGGAGUGGCAUAACAUGAAUGAUUUAAAACAAACGAAAUGUGUACAAAAAAAAGGUUCUAGGAGAUAUACAGUAGCUUAGAGUUGUGAACCACAAUCAUCUCUUUCGAAGUUCCCAAAUAAUUUGAGACAGCUUUUGCAGAAAUGCAAUUGAAACAAUAAGAAAAGCAUCAGAAAACUCUAAAACCUUCAACAAGAACAAGAAGACAUAAAUUUUUAAGCAAUUUUAACCCAAAGUCUCAUAAAAAACUCCACAAAAUAUGAUUUACAUCUAGAUAAACUCUACAGAAUUCUGUUAGAGCUCAUUAGUUCUAAUGACCCAAAAUUUGAAUGUUAACCAGUUGCAGUUAAAAAAUUUUAACAAAGAAAGAAACCUUAAGCACAAUUCAGAAAAAAAUAACAAAUAUAGAAACCUUAAGCGAGGUAAAAAUUUUCUGUAACAAGUUGAUUGUCAACAAAAAGGUAAAAAAGUUGAAUCGCACCUGUGCUGCUUUUUAGUUUAGAUACAUGAAUUAAUUGAUCUCAUGAGUUCCAAUAUUUUGAUACUUUAGACUCAUAAUGCAUAUACACUGCAUAAAUGAAAUAAUUUCUUCAUAAAUCACAAAUAAAACAUAAUAAAUGAAACACAAUUUAAUGGCUUAAGCAGCAAUUUCUACAUUACACAUGUUGCAAAGAGUCUUUCUUUUCCUUCUUUCUAUCCCAUUCUAUAGUUAUAGAAAACUCAAGAAUUUCCUUUAUCUUUAGGAUGUGCACGAACAAGCUAUAUGUGCGCAAAAUGACCACAUCCUAAGUGUCAAAAGGAAAACUGAUGCAUGUUCAACAAUUAGUCUUUGGAAGAAUUAAAAGUGUAAAUUUUUUGUCGACCUUUUCCAGAAUACAAUUUCAGCAGAAAAGGAUCAAAUUCAAUGCACUUGUAAGAAAUAUGCUUCUCUGAAAUAACUUUCAAUCAAAUAGAUAAGAGCAUACAAAUUGAACAUGUCAAGGCUCAGAAGUAUUGGUGUUUCUUUUCCAUGUCAAAGGAAAUGGAAACUUUCCAUGAUUGGAUGGGAACAUGUAGAAUUUUUGAACCAUGUUAACAUAGAAUCCAAAAUUCAAAAUUCAAACUCAUAUGCCCCUAUAUCUAUUCACCUGAAUCCAGAAAUGUUAAAUAAUGACACAGCCUAAGUAUCUGCUAACAUAACUGGCAAACUUUGUUGAAAGAGUCUAAGCCAAACCAAUAAAAACUUUUAGAACUAUACACGAGAGAAAUUAAAUUUGGUAUCAUUUAUUUGCAAAAAUUUUGACAUUUUUAAUAAGAUCCAUCAAAAUUCCAAUAGAAAAAACAAAAUGCUCUCAGAAUUUGCCAAAAGAAAUAAAGGUGGGGGGUGGGGGUGGGGGGUGGGGGGGGGGGAACGGCAACAAAGUCAUAAAGAAGAAGAAAAAUAAUUGCUUUCCACAAAAAUUUCUUUAUUAGUCAUUUCUUGCGUCUUGAUUAUUUGUAUGUAAAACUAAAAUUAAAAAGCUCAGAAUUUAAACAAUAAAUAGACGUACGCAAAGAGAGACUCAAAUUGAAUUAACCUAUUUCCAUAUUUUCUUGAAGCAAAAACUAUCAAAUCAAACAUAUAUUGGCCAAGAUCUGCUCAAAUAGAAUAGUCGUUAAUUAUUUGAGUAAUUCAAUCACAUUCAGCUGAAAACAAAUCAAAUCAAAACCUACAACAGAACCUAAUAAAGAAAUACAUAAAUAGAUCUAUGAGAAUAAGACGAAAUUGCGUCCCGUGAUUAUAACAUUCACCGCGGUCUCUAAUUCGCUUAGUGCAAGGCGGGAACCUGAUAUUUCGCCAAAUAACGACAUCAAUUAAUAAGUUCAUAUAUUGUUAUUCAUACAGUUAUGCAUAUGCCCGAUUUUGGAGCGCAAUAUUCACGAGAAACGACAUCGCCGGCGAAGAAAAUUCCCGACCUGCACCAAGCGAAUUAGAGACCGCCGCAAUAAAUCAAACCUUGCAUGUAUAUACAGGAUUUUGCAUAAAUAGCUUUAUGUGCUUCUACAUCUAUGAAAUAGAUCUGACUAACAAGAAGAGUAUUUAUAUAUGUUGAGAGAGAGAGAGAGAGAGAGAGAGAGAGAGAGAGAGUUUGCAAAUGAGAA
RNAcentral lists this long non-coding RNA (5988 nucleotides) under Olea europaea subsp. europaea. The record is from RNAcentral. Lineage: Eukaryota; Viridiplantae; Streptophyta; Magnoliopsida; Lamiales; Oleaceae.